This 253-nucleotide ribosomal RNA is filed under the name uncultured bacterium. RNAcentral describes it as "partial 16S ribosomal RNA". It matches the Rfam family "Bacterial small subunit ribosomal RNA", at positions 524 to 776 of the family's 1533-position model. The record is from RNAcentral.
GACGGAGGAUGCAAGCGUUCUCCGGAAUGAUUGGGCGUAAAGCGUCCGCAGGUGGCAGUUCAAGUCUGCUGUCAAAGACCGGGGCUUAACUUCGGAAAGGCAGUGGAAACUGAACAGCUAGAGUAUGGUAGGGGCAGAGGGAAUUCCUGGUGUAGCGGUGAAAUGCGUAGAGAUCAGGAAGAACAUCGGUGGCGAAGGCGGGUCUCUGGGCCGAUACUGACGCUGAGGAGCGAAAGCGUGGGGAGCGAACAGG